Molecule: long non-coding RNA, 940 nt
Filed under: Homo sapiens (human)
Lineage: Eukaryota; Metazoa; Chordata; Mammalia; Primates; Hominidae
Description: HSALNT0323342
Source: RNAcentral
GUUCUUCACAAGAUCUGAUGUUUUUAUAUGCAGCUUCCCUCUCUGCUGGUCACUCAUUCUUCUCUCUCCUGCUGCCAUAUGAAAAAGGACCCGUUUCCUUCCCCUUCUGCCAUGAUUGUAAGUUUCCUGAGGCCUCCCCAGCCCUGCAGAACUGUGAGUCAAUUAAACCUCUUUCCUUUGUAAAUUACCCAGUCUCAGGCAGUUCUUUAUAGUACCGUGAGAAUGGACUAAUACAGGUUUAAACAGUCAUUUUAGGAAAAUGUUCAAUCUCCUUUUUCUUCCUCUCUGGAUGUAGGGACCUGGGAGUGCGACAUGGUGGCCUCAGGGGAAAAGGGCUCUCGUCUAGACCUUCUGACUGUCCUCUGGAUCUUCCUGGUGUCCAUGCGGGGCUGCUGCUCUGGGCUGGCCCCAGGGCCUUUGGCCAGUGUCCAUGAGACCCGGAAUUCCAGCAACCAGUUUGACAACUCCUACAGAGAAACAGGAUCCACAUAAGGAUACAGCUUCUUCAUAUCCCUGUCCCAUGACUUCACCCUGCGUUCUUCAACCAAUCAAUGUGUCAGGCCUCUGAGCCCAGGCCUGCACGUAUACAUCCAGAUGGCAUGAAGUAACUGAGGAAUCACAAAAGAAGUGAAACUGGCCGGUUCCUGCCUUAACUGAUGACAUUACCUUGUGAAAUUCCUUCUCCUGGCUCAUCUGGGCUCAGAAGCUCCUCCACUGAGCACCUUGUGACCCCCCACCCCUGUCCGCCAGAGAGCAACCCCCUUUGACUGUAAUUUUCCACUACCUACCCAAAUCCUGUGAAAUGGCCCCACCCCAUCUCCCUUCACUGACUCUAUUUUCGGACUCCGCCCGCCUGCACCCAGGUGAAAUAAACAGCCUUGUUGCUCACACAAAGCCUGUUUGGUGGUCUCUCCACACGGACGCAUGUGACACAAUGAUC